Non-coding RNA from Oryctolagus cuniculus (rabbit), 638 nucleotides. NCBI's taxonomy places the organism in Eukaryota, Metazoa, Chordata, Mammalia, Lagomorpha, Leporidae. The record is from RefSeq and is a predicted model, not a curated record.
ACUAAAGAGAAAAUGAAUGAAGUUUUGAAAAUUGUCUAUAUCUCAAAGAUAGGUAGAUUUUAAAUUAUUAUGACUAUCUUUCUAAGAAAUUUCAUCUUUUAUCUGUGCAUAGUUAGAAACUAUUUCUCACCUUUCCCAUUCCUAUUUCUUCCAUGCAAUCUAUAUUUUGGUAAUAAUAUCAAUAGCCCCAUCUUAUAUUUGAGCUUUCCAGUUUUGAUAUGGCCAUCACUUCAUUUGAAGCCAAGGUACUAUGGCUGUGACUAGGAAGGGUAUGGUAGAGUUGUGAUGGAGGACAAUGUGAACACACGUGCAGAACUGUCACCUGUCUUAAGGAGCUUAAUAAAUAUAGGGCUGGCACUACACCCUGGUCUGAAGCGCUGGCAUCCCAUAUGGCCACUGGUUCUAGUCCGGCUGUUCCACUUCCCAUCCAGCUCUCUGCUAUGGCCUGGGAAAGCAGUAGAAUAUGGCCCAAGUCCUUGGGUCCCUGCACCUGCGUGGGAGACCCGGAAGAAGUUCCUGGCUCCUGGCUUCAGAUCAGUGCAGCUCCUGCCAUUGUGGCCAGUUGGGGAGUGAACCAGUGGAUGGAAGACCUCUCUCUUUCUCUGCCUCUCCUCUCUCUGUGUAACUCUGACUUUCAA